This 888-nucleotide ribosomal RNA is filed under the name Triticum aestivum (bread wheat). Its description in RNAcentral is "partial small subunit ribosomal RNA". The record is from RNAcentral. Lineage: Eukaryota; Viridiplantae; Streptophyta; Magnoliopsida; Poales; Poaceae.
GACCUUCGUGGUGCGUUGGGAUUGGAAGCGGCGUAGGUAAGGGGUGGAGAGUAAGGGAGUCGGCGGCGUGAGAGGUAGCUGUACCAGUAGCGCGAUGUUCGUCGUGGCGACGGAGGGUUACAACGGCGGGGCCUAGGGGGUGGGUGCGGCGACGGUGGCGGGAGCGUAGGGGGUGGGUACGGUGGCAGAAGCGUAUGGGGUAGGUGCGGUAGCAGCCUCCAGUUGCCGCUUAAACCUCCGCUGGAGGCGCUUGGCGGACCGCUAGAGCGGAGGCAGGUGUCGUGUGUUAGCUAUAACGCCGUCGUCCAAGCAAGUGGUAUCGGCGACGCGACCACCCCACUCGGACCGGAAUGGACGGCAAGUUUAGAGCAACGGAUACCACACGGGGGCGGUGGCGCCCGACAGGAUGUCAACAUCACCGCUUUAUACCAUGUUCUGCCUUACCUUUCUUUUGAGAACACGAACUUCCCUCGCCUUCGCCUACAAUAACCCCAGUCGCAGUGGCAGUUCUCCCACGAAAAAACCGAGUGAUGAUUUCCUUUUACCAAUGACACAUGAUGAGAACGUGAGUGUUAAAAUCUCUGCACACAAAACGUUCGAUUUUCCUAGAUAACGAUCUUAGCUUCUGUAUAAGGGUACAUACAUACAUACGUACUACCUAACAACGGGAAAACCGACACUCCAUCAUGACUUGAACACUCGGAUGUUUACAUAAACAUACAUACAUACAACACUACAUCAUGAUUUACAUAUAGAUACAUACAUACUACACUACAUCAUGACCUGAACACUUGGAUGUUUACAUAUGGAUACAUACAUACGUUUGUACUACAUAACAACUCUAUAUAAUACUACUUUGAAAUUAAUGGGAUGUACACACUACAAGUU